This 91-nucleotide transfer RNA is filed under the name Candidatus Acetothermia bacterium. RNAcentral's name for it is "tRNA-Glu". It matches the Rfam family "tRNA". From Rfam's summary of the family: Transfer RNA (tRNA) molecules are approximately 80 nucleotides in length. The record is from RNAcentral. Lineage: Bacteria; Candidatus Bipolaricaulota.
GCUCCGGUGGUGUAGGCCGGUCAAACAUGAUGGCCUCUCGUGCCCGCGGGGAAAGCCAUCGCCUCGGGUUCAAAUCCCGACCGGAGCACCA